CCGCGUGUGUGAUGAAGGUCUUCGGGUCGUAAAGCACUGUGGGGAGAGACGAAAAAGCGCAUCAGGAAAUGGUUGCGCCUUGACGGUACCUCCUUAGCAAGCACCGGCUAACUCUGUGCCAGCAGCCGCGGUAAUACAGAGGGUGCGAACGUUGCUCGGAUUUACUGGGCGUAAAGCGCGUGUAGGCGGACUCGCAAGUCGGUUGUGAAAUCCCUGGGCUUAACCUGGGAACUGCAUCCGAAACUGCUUGUCUUGAGUAAUGGAGAGGGUGGCGGAAUUCCCGGUGUAGAGGUGAAAUUCGUAGAUAUCGGGAGGAACACCAGUGGCGAAGGCGGCCACCUGGACAUUUACUGACGCUGAGACGCGAAAGCGUGGGGAGCAAACAGGAUUAGAUACCCUGGUAGUCCACGCCGUAAACGAUGAGAACUAGGUGCAGCGGAUAUUGACCUCUGCUGUGCCGUAGCUAACGCGUUAAGUUCUCCGCCUGGGGAGUACGGCCGCAAGGCUAAAACUCAAAGGAAUUGACGGGGGCCCGCACAAGCAGUGGAGCAUGUGGUUUAAUUCGAAGCAACGCGCAGAACCUUACCAGGGCUAGACAAACUAAGAAUCCUGAAGAAACUCGGGAGUGCUCGCAAGAGAACUUAGGUCCAGGUGCUGCAUGGCUGUCGUCAGCUCGUGUCGUGAGAUGCUGGGUUAAGUCCCGCAACGAGCGCAACCCUUAUCCUUAGUUGCCAUCAUUUAGUUGGGCACUCAAAGGAGACUGCCGGGGUCAACCCGGAGGAAGGUGGGGAUGACGUCAAGUCCUCAUGGCCCUUAUGUCCUGGGCUACACACGUGCUACAAUGGUCGGUACAAAGCGCUGCGAAGCCGCGAGGUGGAGCGAAUCGCAAAAAGCCGGCCUCAGUACGGAUUGCACUCUGCAACUCGAGUGCAUGAAGUCGGAAUUGCUAGUAAUCGUCGAUCAGCAGGCGACGGUGAAUACGUUCCCGGGCCUUGUACACACCGCCCGUCACACCAUGGGAGUCGAGUGCUCCAGAAGUGGCCACGCUAACCCGCAAGGGAGGCAGGUCCCCAAGGAGUGUUUGGUAACUGGGGUGAAGUCGUAACAAGGUAACC
This 1115-nucleotide ribosomal RNA is filed under the name uncultured Myxococcales bacterium. RNAcentral describes it as "bacterial SSU rRNA". It matches the Rfam family "Bacterial small subunit ribosomal RNA", at positions 397 to 1501 of the family's 1533-position model. Lineage: Bacteria; Pseudomonadati; Myxococcota; Myxococcia; Myxococcales. The record is from RNAcentral.